RNAcentral lists this ribosomal RNA (437 nucleotides) under uncultured bacterium. RNAcentral describes it as "bacterial SSU rRNA". It matches the Rfam family "Bacterial small subunit ribosomal RNA", at positions 29 to 507 of the family's 1533-position model. The record is from RNAcentral.
AGCGAACGCUGGCGGCAUGCUUAACACAUGCAAGUCGCACGGUCGGGGUAACUCCGGCAGUGGCGGACGGGUGAGUAACGCGUAGGUAUCUGUCCAUGGGUGGGGGAUAACGCUGGGAAACUGGUGCUAAUACCGCAUGACACCUGAGGGUCAAAGGCGCAAGUCGCCUGUGGAGGAGCCUGCGUCCGAUUAGCUAGUUGGUGGGGUAAAGGCCUACCAAGGCGACGAUCGGUAGCUGGUCUGAGAGGAUGAUCAGCCACAUUGGGACUGAGACACGGCCCAAACUCCUACGGGAGGCAGCAGUGGGGAAUAUUGGACAAUGGGCGCAAGCCUGAUCCAGCAAUGCCGCGUGGAUGAAGAAGGUCUUCGGAUUGUAAAGUCCUUUCGGCGGGGACGAUGAUGACGGUACCGCAGAAGAAGCCCCGGCUAACUUCGUG